RNAcentral lists this ribosomal RNA (1086 nucleotides) under Microbacterium oxydans. Its description in RNAcentral is "bacterial SSU rRNA". It matches the Rfam family "Bacterial small subunit ribosomal RNA", at positions 132 to 1231 of the family's 1533-position model. Lineage: Bacteria; Bacillati; Actinomycetota; Actinomycetes; Micrococcales; Microbacteriaceae. The record is from RNAcentral.
CUGGCGCGAUAAGCGCUGGGAAACGGCGUCUAAUACUGGAUAUGUGACGUGAUCGCAUGGUCUGCGUCUGGAAAGAAUUUCGGUUGGGGAUGGGCUCGCGGCCUAUCAGCUUGUUGGUGAGGUAAUGGCUCACCAAGGCGUCGACGGGUAGCCGGCCUGAGAGGGUGACCGGCCACACUGGGACUGAGACACGGCCCAGACUCCUACGGGAGGCAGCAGUGGGGAAUAUUGCACAAUGGGCGCAAGCCUGAUGCAGCAACGCCGCGUGAGGGACGACGGCCUUCGGGUUGUAAACCUCUUUUAGCAGGGAAGAAGCGAAAGUGACGGUACCUGCAGAAAAAGCGCCGGCUAACUACGUGCCAGCAGCCGCGGUAAUACGUAGGGCGCAAGCGUUAUCCGGAAUUAUUGGGCGUAAAGAGCUCGUAGGCGGUUUGUCGCGUCUGCUGUGAAAUCCGGAGGCUCAACCUCCGGCCUGCAGUGGGUACGGGCAGACUAGAGUGCGGUAGGGGAGAUUGGAAUUCCUGGUGUAGCGGUGGAAUGCGCAGAUAUCAGGAGGAACACCGAUGGCGAAGGCAGAUCUCUGGGCCGUAACUGACGCUGAGGAGCGAAAGGGUGGGGAGCAAACAGGCUUAGAUACCCUGGUAGUCCACCCCGUAAACGUUGGGAACUAGUUGUGGGGUCCAUUCCACGGAUUCCGUGACGCAGCUAACGCAUUAAGUUCCCCGCCUGGGGAGUACGGCCGCAAGGCUAAAACUCAAAGGAAUUGACGGGGACCCGCACAAGCGGCGGAGCAUGCGGAUUAAUUCGAUGCAACGCGAAGAACCUUACCAAGGCUUGACAUAUACGAGAACGGGCCAGAAAUGGUCAACUCUUUGGACACUCGUAAACAGGUGGUGCAUGGUUGUCGUCAGCUCGUGUCGUGAGAUGUUGGGUUAAGUCCCGCAACGAGCGCAACCCUCGUUCUAUGUUGCCAGCACGUAAUGGUGGGAACUCAUGGGAUACCGCCGGGGUCAACUCGGAGGAAGGUGGGGAUGACGUCAAAUCAUCAUGCCCCUUAUGUCUUGGGCUUCGACGCUAUGCUACUGA